RNAcentral lists this ribosomal RNA (3750 nucleotides) under Triticum aestivum (bread wheat). RNAcentral describes it as "partial small subunit ribosomal RNA". The record is from RNAcentral. Lineage: Eukaryota; Viridiplantae; Streptophyta; Magnoliopsida; Poales; Poaceae.
AUGAGGCCGGAGACGCGCCUCGACUCGGCGGCGUUCCAGCUCACCCCCACCCGCACCAGGUGUGAUUUGAUUGUGAUAGCGAAUGGGAGGAAGGAGAAGAUCGCCUCCGGCCUGCUGAAUCCCUUCGUCGCCCACCUCAAGGCCGCCCAGGACCAGAUUGCCAAGGGAGGCUACACCAUCCUGCUCGAACCGGAUCCGGCGGCCGACGCGCCAUGGUUCACCAGGGGCACCCUCGAGAGGUUCGUCCGUUUCGUGAGCACGCCAGAGGUCCUGGAGCGGGUGACCACGAUAGAGUCCGAGAUACUGCAGCUCGAGGACGCCAUCGCCGUCCAGAGCAACGAAAAUCUAGGACUCAAAUCUGGAGAAGCCCAUAAUGGGAAGCCGGUGGACUCCUCCAUGGAAGGUGGCAAGACAGGGUACAAUGCUGAUGGUGAUAAGGCACUUGUUCUGUACAAGCCUGACACACAUCCAGCAUCCCAACUGCAGAAUGACGACGGAGUACAUGAGGAGCAUUCAAAAGUUCAGCUUCUCAGAGUGCUGGAGACUCGCAAGACUGUCUUACGUAAAGAGCAGGCUAUGGCCUUUGCACGUGCUCUAGCUGCUGGGUUUGAUAUAGACAACCUGAUAUAUUUGAUCUCGUUCGCAGAGCGUUUUGGUGCUUCACGCUUGAUGAAGGCAUGCACACAGUUCAUUGAUUUGUGGAGGCAAAAACAUGAGACUGGACAGUGGAUUGACGUUGAACCCGAAACAAUGUCUACACGCUCUGAAUUUCCUCCCUUCAAUGCUUCUGGGAUUAUGUUUAUGGGAGAUAAGGAAACAAUGUCUGUCUCUAAUGGAGAUACAAAUGGCGAAGAUGCUGCUAAAGCUGAUCACAGGUCACAUCACCACCCAGGAGCUCCCCAUGAGUACCAUCAUGGCCCAUAUCAAUCAGGAUAUCCACCAUGGGCAAUGCAUCCACCUUACCCCAUGCAAGGCAUGCCACCAUACUACCCUGGGGCAAACCCAUAUUACCCUCCUCCCUAUCCCCCAACAGAUGAUCCCAGGUACAACCACUCGGAGAGGAGACCAUCAAGGAAGCACUCAGCAGACAGCAAGGACUUCGACAACUCCGAUGAUGAAAGUGACGACCAAAGCGGUUCAGAGAGGGAGAGUUCUCAUGGCCGCAAGUCCAGUAAAAAAGGCAAGCGCUCGGGCAAGAAGAAUGUAAUUGUCAUACGCAAUGUAAAUGUAACAUCAAAGAAGAAGCACAGGUCAUCAGAGAGCGAGUCACACUCAGGCUCAGAUAUGUCAUCAGAGGAUAGUGAUGAUUCACACAGGAAAUCCAGCAAGAGGAAUCAUAAGCGCUCGAGUUCGAAGAAAAAAGGGGGCAAGAAAACCAUUGAGUCUGAAGAUGAGUACACCAAGGAUGGAAUGUCUAAUGGGCAGCAAGAUGGAGAUCAAGGAAACUGGAAUGCGUUCCAGAACUUCUUGCUCAGAGAUGAAGAGAAGACAAGAGAUAAUAAUGACGCGGAUAUGUUCGCCAGUGAAAGAGAGCCACCACCACCACCUAGGAGGAGAGAGACCACAGGAAAUAUGGGCGAUCCUAUUCUUUUAUCCGAGCGGGGUUCUGCUGAUGUCGAUGAGCGAAAUGGAAUGCCUUUCAACACAGCCAAUGGGAGAAUUAGGGCCAGGCAGAUGAUGUCUGGUGAUGAACUUAUGAUGUCUGGGGAAGGUCGGAGCUUUGUGGAUGGUGACAUGAAGGAGAUAGAAGCCGGAGGUGGGGGAUACAGAAGAGGGGCAAAUGAUGACUUCAUGGUUUAUGGACAUGAAAACUCAAUGGACAGGGGGAGCUCCUUGGACCCCCUUGCUGAGGGGCAUUACAAGAGACCCACUCUGGAGGAGAAGAAGAAUGUACACGGUGUGGAUGAGUCCAUGAUACCUGUUACCUCCAACUCACAUGAUAACCUUGGAGCUGACGGCCGUACUGCCAUUGACAUAGAUGCUGAGCUUGGCACAAGUGUUCAGAAAACAUCGGAUGCCAAGGCUGGAGGUGAACUUUUCUAUGAGCCAGAUGAAUUGAUGCCAGAGCGUGGCUUUGAAGAUGUUUCAUUUGGAUAUGAUCCAUCAAUGGACUAUGAUAGCCACAUGCAGAUUCAUCCUGACGUCGGCGUUGAAGAUGCAAAUGCAGAGGAUUUAUCAGCUUGCGUCGACGAUGAAGGAAAGAUGCCAGCAAAAGUCAAGAAGCUUAGAGGUUCACAGGAGGGUUUGGAUAAAAGAAGGAAGGAUGCCUCAGCAAGGAGACUGUCAGCGCCCAAAGGCCCACUAACUGAUGCGCAGAAACGUGCACAAAACCUACGCGCGUAUAAAGCGGGCCUACAAAAGGAAAAGAAGGAGCUGGAAGCAGAACAGAUUAAACGGCUCGAAAGGCUUAAGCAAGAGAGGCAAAAGAGGAUUGCUGCAAGAAGUGGCGCAUCUAAUCCAAUAUCAACACCGCCGCAAGCUAAAGCAAAACCUUCUCCAAAGGUUUCUCCCAGUACCCACAAGAGUUCCAAGUUCACUGACGCUGAACCAGGAUCCUCUUCGCCUCUAAGAAAAAUUAUUCCUGCCAGAAGCAGUACCCCAGGGAGUGAUCCUCACAAAACAGCCAAAGCAAGCAAACUCGGCGGUGACAGCUCAAGUGCAGUGAGCAAGUCAACCUCAUCACUGGCUGAGAUCAAAAAGGAGAAAAGUGGCAGAACUGAAUCGUCGAUUGAGCGAUUGAAGAAGCUUGCUGAACCUAAAAGCAAUGCUUCGACUGACCAUCCUUCGAAUCCCAAGUCAGCGAGCGCGGAUCACCCGCGGAGAAGAAGCUUGCCGUUGCCGGAAGAUGUGCAGACCAAGAAAAUCUCCGCUAUAAUGCAGCUCGACGAGACCAAGUCGGCAGCCCUACCAGAGCUGAAAGUCAAAUCCCCCCGAACCCCUGCCGCUGUCGUUGUGAAGAACAAGGCGGCGGCUAAAGUAGCAAAAGAGGCGCCACGUGUUGGACCUAAAGCACAUGCUACUUCAGAAAGUAGAGAUGGAAAGAAAUCGUCCAACGGUAAAGUUUCCAGGGUAAGCAGCAGUGAUGACAAUGUGGUGGUUGAGAAGACCGUCGUGAUGCUUGAAAACGAAGUGGUCUCUACGCCUCCUGUUGUUCUACCUCCUGGAAGAAGUGCGGAGAGCGAAACUCGCAGCGAUGACCGAAUGGACUAUCCCAGUCUGGAGCAGGAGUAUGUUGCCAUCAGGGCUCCACCUUCUCCCGUUGAUCUUCCUGAAGAUGCAAAUCCUACCAUCCAUGCAUCUGACAGCCAGUUGAAUUCCUACGAGGUGGAUGUGCCUGAGUACAAGAAGGAUGAGCUUGAGAAACCAGCCCCGUUGGCUCCGAUGGAGGAGAAACCUUAUGAGGCCCCUUUUGCCAGGGAACCCGAGACACUUGCGCGCGCAGCGAGCGUGAGGGCACGCGUGCCUGAGCCUGCUGCAUAUGCAGUCUCAGCCGAGGAGACACAUGGAGAAAAUGGCAAGCCUCGAAGCAAAGAACCGAAAGGCUUCAGGAAACUGCUGAAAUUCGGCAAGAAGAGCCACACCUCAACGAUGGAUUCCGAUGCAUCGUCGGUCGACGAAGCCCCUGCAGGAGAUGGUUCGAUGCUGAAAAACCUCAUUUCGCAAGACGACUCCGCGGGCUCUUCAUACAAAGCUUCUCGGUCCUUCUCCCUGCUGGCGCCGUUCCGCAAGAACAAGGUGGUCGUGCUGUGA